ACAGGGGAGCCUAGAGCUGAGAUUUACGCGGAGCGUAUAAACCCUUUUACCUGAUCCGGGUAAUGCCGGCGUAGGGAGUUUGGC
RNAcentral lists this non-coding RNA (84 nucleotides) under bovine gut metagenome. RNAcentral's name for it is "TPP riboswitch (THI element)". It matches the Rfam family "TPP riboswitch aptamer (THI element)", at positions 9 to 90 of the family's 105-position model. From Rfam's summary of the family: Vitamin B(1) in its active form thiamin pyrophosphate (TPP) is an essential coenzyme that is synthesised by coupling of pyrimidine and thiazole moieties in bacteria. The previously detected thiamin-regulatory element, thi box was extended, resulting in a new, highly conserved RNA secondary structure, the THI element, which is widely distributed in eubacteria and also occurs in some archaea. The record is from RNAcentral.